UGCAAGUCGAACGAAGGUACUUGUACCUUAGUGGCGAACGGGUGAGUAACACGUAGGUAAUCUGCCCUCAAGACGAGGAUAACUGUUGGAAACGACAGCUAAUACUGGAUAGGUAUAUAGGAGGCAUCUCUUAUAUAUUAAAGGACCACUGGUAUGCUUGAGGAUGAACCUGCGGCGCAUUAGUUAGUUGGUGAGGUAAUGGCUCACCAAGACGAUGAUGCGUAGCCGGACUGAGAGGUUGAACGGCCACAUUGGGACUGAGACACGGCCCAAACUCCUACGGGAGGCAGCAGUAGGGAAUUUUCGGCAAUGGAGGAAACUCUGACCGAGCAACGCCGCGUGAAUGAAGACAUAUUUCGGUAUGUAAAGUUCUUUUAUUAGGGAAGAAUAGCCCAUGGAAAAAUGGGUGUGACGGUACCUAAUGAAUAAGCCCCGGCUAACUAUGUGCCAGCAGCCGCGGUAAUACAUAGGGGGCAAGCGUUAUCCGGAAUUAUUGGGCGUAAAGGGUGCGUAGGCGGCCAUUUAAGUCUUUGGUAUAAGUGCAGUGCUUAACGCUGUGAUGCUAAGGAAACUGAAUGGCUUGAGUGAGAUAGAGGCAAGUGGAAUUCCAUGUGUAGCGGUAAAAUGCGUAAAUAUAUGGAGGAACACCAGUGGCGAAGGCGGCUUGCUGGGUCUACACUGACGCUGAGGCACGAAAGCGUGGGGAGCAAACAGGAUUAGAUACCCUGGUA
Molecule: ribosomal RNA, 731 nt
Filed under: uncultured Acholeplasmatales bacterium
Lineage: Bacteria; Bacillati; Mycoplasmatota; Mollicutes; Acholeplasmatales
Description: bacterial SSU rRNA
Rfam family: Bacterial small subunit ribosomal RNA
Source: RNAcentral